AUUGAACGCUGGCGGCAGGCUUAACACAUGCAAGUCGAGCGGGGUGAUGGUGCUUGCACUAUCACUUAGCGGCGGACGGGUGAGUAAUGCUUAGGAAUCUGCCUAUUAGUGGGGGACGACAUCUCGAAAGGGAUGCUAAUACCGCAUACGUCCUACGGGAGAAAGCAGGGGAUCACUUGUGACCUUGCGCUAAUAGAUGAGCCUAAGUCGGAUUAGCUAGUUGGUGGGGUAAAGGCCUACCAAGGCGACGAUCUGUAGCGGGUCUGAGAGGAUGAUCAGCCACACUGGGACGGAGACACGGCCCAGACUCCUACGGGAGGCAGCAGUGGGGAAUAUUGGACAAUGGGGGGAGCCCUGAUCCAGCCAUGCCGCGUGUGUGAAGAAGGCCUUAUGGUUGUAAAGCACUUUAAGCGAGGAGGAGGCUCUUUUGGUUAAUACCCAAGAUGAGUGGACGUUACUCGCAGAAUAAGCACCGGCUAACUCUGUGCCAGCCGCCGCAGUAA
This 503-nucleotide ribosomal RNA is filed under the name uncultured bacterium. Its description in RNAcentral is "partial 16S ribosomal RNA". It matches the Rfam family "Bacterial small subunit ribosomal RNA", at positions 30 to 523 of the family's 1533-position model. The record is from RNAcentral.